AGCGAACGCUGGCGGCAGGCCUAACACAUGCAAGUCGAACGAACGCUUCGGAGUUAGUGGCGGACGGGGGAGUAACACGUGGGAACGUGCCUUUUUGCUCGGGAUAACUCAGGGAAACUGGUGCUAAUACCGAAUGUGCCCUUCGGGGAAAAGAUUUAUCGCACUUAUAGAGGCCCGCGUCUUAUUAGCUAGGUGGGGAGGUAACGGCUCACCAAGGCGAGGAUCAGUAGCUGGUCUGAGAGGAUGACCAGCCACACUUGGACUGAGACGCGGCCCAGACUACUACGGGAGGGAGCAGAGGCGAAUCUUGCGCAAUGGGCGAAAGCAUGACGCAGCCAUGCCGCGUGAAUGAUGAAGGUCUUAGGAAUGUAAAAUUCUUUCACCGGGGACGAUAAUGACGGUACCCGGAGAAGAAGCCCCGGCUAACUUCGUG
This 433-nucleotide ribosomal RNA is filed under the name uncultured bacterium. RNAcentral describes it as "partial 16S ribosomal RNA". It matches the Rfam family "Bacterial small subunit ribosomal RNA", at positions 29 to 507 of the family's 1533-position model. The record is from RNAcentral.